RNAcentral lists this non-coding RNA (79 nucleotides) under Neotoma lepida (desert woodrat). Lineage: Eukaryota; Metazoa; Chordata; Mammalia; Rodentia; Cricetidae. The record is from Rfam by way of RNAcentral.
GACUCCCUAGCCUGUAACUAUGACUCUCUUAAGGUAGCCAAAUGCCUCAUUAUCUAAUUAGUGACGCGCAUGAAUGGAU